RNAcentral lists this ribosomal RNA (731 nucleotides) under uncultured bacterium. RNAcentral describes it as "bacterial SSU rRNA". It matches the Rfam family "Bacterial small subunit ribosomal RNA", at positions 68 to 766 of the family's 1533-position model. The record is from RNAcentral.
GAAACUUCUUUAUCGCCGAGUGCUUGCACUCACCGAUAAAGAGUUGAGUGGCGAACGGGUGAGUAACACGUGGGCAACCUGCCCAAAAGAGGGGGAUAACACUUGGAAACAGGUGCUAAUACCGCAUAACCAUAGUUACCGCAUGGUAACUAUGUAAAAGGUGGCUAUGCUACCGCUUUUGGAUGGGCCCGCGACGCAUUAGCUAGUUGGUGGGGUAAAGGCUUACCAAGGCAAUGAUGCGUAGCCGAACUGAGAGGUUGAUCGGCCACAUUGGGACUGAGACACGGCCCAAACUCCUACGGGAGGCAGCAGUAGGGAAUCUUCCACAAUGGGCGAAAGCCUGAUGGAGCAACGCCGCGUGGGUGAAGAAGGUCUUCGGAUCGUAAAACCCUGUUGUUAGAGAAGAAAGUGCGUGAGAGUAACUGUUCACGUUUCGACGGUAUCUAACCAGAAAGCCACGGCUAACUACGUGCCAGCAGCCGCGGUAAUACGUAGGUGGCAAGCGUUAUCCGGAUUUAUUGGGCGUAAAGAGAACGCAGGCGGUCUUUUAAGUCUGAUGUGAAAGCCUUCGGCUUAACCGGAGUAGUGCAUUGGAAACUGGGAGACUUGAGUGCAGAAGAGGAGAGUGGAACUCCAUGUGUAGCGGUGAAAUGCGUAGAUAUAUGGAAGAACACCAGUGGCGAAAGCGGCUCUCUGGUCUGUAACUGACGCUGAGGUUCGAAAGCGUGGGU